CGUUGUUUGCAAUGCAGGCUGCGGGAAGAGAAGAAAUAGACCAAAGAAUUGCUCCCAGAUUAAUAAGCCAUCGCCCUUAUCCAGGUAUGAAAGUUAAUAAAGGCCAUGGGACUGCAAGAACUAGCCGAGAACCUGUAUUGAAGAAGUCAUUUUCUCUGCAAUGGCCCAGCCGCAACACAAAUGUAGGAUAUGAGCCACCCUUCCAGCAGCUCUACAACAGAGUAAACAGACCAUUGGGCUACUCGCUACUGUAAUAUUGAGUACCUCAAAUAAAGUAUUAUUAAGUGGCAUGUAUAAUUGCAGAUCCCUCUCUUAGUUUUACCAUCACACCUGCUAGACUAAGCCAUCAUUCUCUCCUCCAACGAUAGAAGUGACUAUUGAUGCCUUAGAAAGUGGAAAAGCUAUACAUAUUACCAUCUUACUUUACUGAAUCCUUCAUGUUUUGGCUAUCAAGAGUAUGUUCUGCUUUGGGCA
This is a long non-coding RNA of Lolium rigidum, 474 nucleotides long. RefSeq lists it as uncharacterized. The transcript has 2 exons. The record is from RefSeq and is a predicted model, not a curated record. Lineage: Eukaryota; Viridiplantae; Streptophyta; Magnoliopsida; Poales; Poaceae.